RNAcentral lists this ribosomal RNA (253 nucleotides) under uncultured bacterium. Its description in RNAcentral is "partial 16S ribosomal RNA". It matches the Rfam family "Bacterial small subunit ribosomal RNA", at positions 524 to 777 of the family's 1533-position model. The record is from RNAcentral.
UACGAAGGGGGCUAGCGUUGUUCGGAAUUACUGGGCGUAAAGCGCACGUAGGCGGAUAUUUAAGUCAGGGGUGAAAUCCCAGAGCUCAACUCUGGAACUGCCUUUGAUACUGGGUAUCUGAGUAUGGAAGAGGUAAGUGGAAUUGCGAGUGUAGAGGUGAAAUUCGUAGAUAUUCGCAAGAACACCAGUGGCGAAGGCGGCUCACUGGCCCGAUACUGACGCUGAGGCACGAAAGCGUGGGGAGCAAACAGGG